Long non-coding RNA from Pipra filicauda (Wire-tailed manakin), 183 nucleotides. RefSeq lists it as uncharacterized. The record is from RefSeq and is a predicted model, not a curated record. The transcript has 3 exons. NCBI's taxonomy places the organism in Eukaryota, Metazoa, Chordata, Aves, Passeriformes, Pipridae.
AAAUAAAUGUUUAGAAACCCCAAUAACAAACUGAUCUCUUGAGGGCAUUUCGCUGGAGCAAUGGCCGUGCUUUAAGCCCAGCGGGGAAUCUACAGGCCAGCGUCAUGGCAGCGAAGAUAACUUGUGGAAAUACUGGACUUGUGACCUUAGACACAGGCAUUGUAUUUCUCAUUUCCAGAAUCC